AUUAAAGUGGCGCAGCGAAAGCAUGGUGGGCCUAUAACCCAUAGGUCCUAGGAUCGAAACUUGGCUUUGAUA
RNAcentral lists this transfer RNA (72 nucleotides) under Ipomoea nil (Japanese morning glory). It matches the Rfam family "tRNA". From Rfam's summary of the family: Transfer RNA (tRNA) molecules are approximately 80 nucleotides in length. Their secondary structure includes four short double-helical elements and three loops (D, anti-codon, and T loops). The record is from Rfam by way of RNAcentral. Lineage: Eukaryota; Viridiplantae; Streptophyta; Magnoliopsida; Solanales; Convolvulaceae.